AGAGUUUGAUCCUCGGCUCAGGAUGAACGCUGGCGGCGUGCCUAAUACAUGCAAGUCGAACGCACUGUGGUUCAACUGAUUUGAAGAGCUUGCUCUGAUAUGACGAUGAACAUUGCAGUGAGUGGCGAACGGGUGAGUAACACGUGGGAAACCUACCUCUUAGCGGGGGAUAACAUCUGGAAACAGAUGCUAAUACCGCAUAACACUAGCAACCGCAUGGUUGCUACUUGAAAGAUGGUUCUGCUAUCACUAAGAGAUGGUCCCGCGGCGCAUUAGUUAGUUGGUGAGGUAAUGGCUCACCAAGACGAUGAUGCGUAGCCGAGUUGAGAGACUGAUCGGCCACAAUGGGACUGAGACACGGCCCAUACUCCUACGGGAGGCAGCAGUAGGGAAUCUUCCACAAUGGACGAAAGUCUGAUGGAGCAACGCCGCGUGUGUGAUGAAGGGUUUCGGCUCGUAAAACACUGUUGUAAGAGAAGAAUAGCAUCAAGAGUAACUGCUUGGUGUGUGACGGUAUCUUACCAGAAAGGAACGGCUAAAUACGUGCCAGCAGCCGCGGUAAUACGUAUGUUCCAAGCGUUAUCCGGAUUUAUUGGGCGUAAAGCGAGCGCAGACGGUUUUUUAAGUCCGAAGUGAAAGCCCACAGCUUAACUGUGGAAGUGCUUUGGAAACUGGAUGACUUGAGUGCAGUAGAGGAGAGUGGAAUUCCAUGUGUAGCGGUGAAAUGCGUAGAUAUAUGGAGGAACACCAGUGGCGAACGCGCUCUCUGGACUGUAACUGACGUGAAGCUCCGAAAGUGUGGGUAGCAAACAUGAUUAGAUACCCUGGUAGUCCACACC
This 839-nucleotide ribosomal RNA is filed under the name uncultured bacterium. Its description in RNAcentral is "bacterial SSU rRNA". It matches the Rfam family "Bacterial small subunit ribosomal RNA", at positions 8 to 801 of the family's 1533-position model. The record is from RNAcentral.